RNAcentral lists this ribosomal RNA (484 nucleotides) under uncultured bacterium. Its description in RNAcentral is "partial 16S ribosomal RNA". It matches the Rfam family "Bacterial small subunit ribosomal RNA", at positions 30 to 507 of the family's 1533-position model. The record is from RNAcentral.
AUUGAACGCUGGCGGCAGGCCUAACACAUGCAAGUCGAGCGGAUGAAGGGAGCUUGCUCCUGGAUUCAGCGGCGGACGGGUGAGUAAUGCCUAGGAAUCUGCCUGGUAGUGGGGGAUAACGUCCGGAAACGGGCGCUAAUACCGCAUACGUCCUGAGGGAGAAAGUGGGGGAUCUUCGGACCUCACGCUAUCAGAUGAGCCUAGGUCGGAUUAGCUAGUUGGUGGGGUAAAGGCCUACCAAGGCGACGAUCCGUAACUGGUCUGAGAGGAUGAGCAGUCACACUGGAACUGAGACACGGUCCAGACUCCUACGGGAGGCAGCAGUGGGGAAUAUUGGAAGAUGGGCGAAAGCCUAAUCCAGCCAUGCCGCGUGUGUGAAGAAGGUCUUCGGAUUGUAAAGCACUUUAAGUUGGGAGGAAGGGCAGUAAGUUAAUACCUUGCUGUUUUGACGUUACCAACAGAAUAAGCACCGGCUAACUUCGUG